GAAACUCCUCCUUCCCCUCCUCUCUUUUAGGUUACUGGGUCACCUCAAUAGCAUACCGAUACCCUACAAAACGAAUAUAGCAUCGGAGUGUUAAAAAAAAUACCAUUGGAAAUUAAAAUAAUCACAUAAACACACUGAAGAACUCCUAGAGCGAAUCGAAUCACAUAUUAAUGCAAGAAGACGGGGAAUAUAUGUAUGAUUCGUGCAUUUUUAAUGUUGCGUUAUGUCUCUAGGAAUGUCUUGGAUCGAUGGAUCGUUCAUAGUAUUCUCCCUAGAACAUUAAGUAUUAAUUUGUUAGUGCAAUUCUUAAUACCAUCUUUAGUAUUCUCCCUAGAAU
RNAcentral lists this long non-coding RNA (337 nucleotides) under Medicago truncatula (barrel medic). RNAcentral describes it as "long non-coding RNA (MTRU_LNC000905)". Lineage: Eukaryota; Viridiplantae; Streptophyta; Magnoliopsida; Fabales; Fabaceae. The record is from RNAcentral.